AGACUGAGAAAGAGUCUCACCACAUCCUGACAUGAGGAAAAAGACUUUAUUGAAGACUACAAUGAGAAAAACUAUCAGACAGCAGACGGCUGCAUUCAAGUCUGUAGCUGCUGAAUUCAUGGAUGAAUCAUCUGGCACUAGAGAAGAAGACCAUCAAACAUCCACGUCAGCUGAUGGAGGUCCAAGAGUCUCACCAAACAACCAACCUACAGAGUGAAGACCUCCAAUCUGAUUGGACGGCCUCCUAUUCAGCCACAUGUGUGAACAAAUGCCUCUAAGCUGAUUUGUUUUCUAAAAUAAAUCUAGUUUGAGUCCUAAUCUAUGCCUGUGUGUUUGCUUCUUUACACCGCUGUUAACAGUUUAGGCUGUUAGAUUGUUCCAGAUAAGACAAGUACAAGAUUCUUCAGAGCCGUUCUACCACGAGCCUGACAGGAAGAACUCCAACAGCUACUGAAUGUUCCUGUGGUCCCCUCAAGGCUACAGGAGGAGUCCUACGAGGACGAGCCGGUCCACCUGAUGGUGGCCAGUCGCUGCGGUUUAAAGCCAACACCGACUAUGUGGACUUCUACUGGACCACACGGAGGCCUUCAAACCGGACCAACAAGUUCACCGACUCCCCGACUCGUGGGUCUGAGGACGCUGCCGAGCCUCGGCCCAGCCGGCCUCCUGUCUGUGGGUGUUUGAGUGCUGAGAGGUUUGUGGAUGCAUGUGAACGUUCUGUGUUGAAACAGCAGCUUUGGACUCAGUAACGCCGGGAAAAACCAAGAGCUCCUUUAUUUGUCACUUCCACUAAAACUGAUGAAAAUAAGUUUGCCAGGGUUCUGACUGAUGACAGAUUAUUAAAUAAUGAAAAUAAUCGUUUAAAUAUUCCUUUAAACAAUCCUUUUAGG
Molecule: long non-coding RNA, 890 nt
Organism: Amphiprion ocellaris (clown anemonefish)
Lineage: Eukaryota; Metazoa; Chordata; Actinopteri; Pomacentridae
Source: Ensembl